UCCAGGAAACCCUCCUGGUCCACCUCACCCUGGUCCCGCACCCCAUGGACCAAACCGCCCUCGCAGACCUCGGCUUAUGGAGAUAUACCAGCUUAUAUUCGGCAGGCCAGAUCACUAAGGACAACAGCACUCCAUUCCGCCACUAAUAGAGAUCGCCGAACUCCCUUUCCAAACGCUUCGUUCAACAUCCUAAGACCUACGAGAGAUCAUUCGACACGCACCGCAUGCGCCUUGACAUCAAGACGAGGAAGUCAAACGGAAUUCACAGGUGCCCGCGUGAGGGAAUUAAUCACGCUUGGGCUGCUAAAACCCAUAUAAACCACUCUUAUCAUCAGUAAAAAUGCAUUCAAUAAA
Long non-coding RNA from Rhipicephalus sanguineus (brown dog tick), 354 nucleotides. RefSeq lists it as uncharacterized. The transcript is spliced from 3 exons. The record is from RefSeq and is a predicted model, not a curated record. NCBI's taxonomy places the organism in Eukaryota, Metazoa, Arthropoda, Arachnida, Ixodida, Ixodidae.